RNAcentral lists this ribosomal RNA (492 nucleotides) under uncultured bacterium. RNAcentral's name for it is "partial 16S ribosomal RNA". It matches the Rfam family "Bacterial small subunit ribosomal RNA", at positions 29 to 507 of the family's 1533-position model. The record is from RNAcentral.
AGUGAACGCUGGCGGUAGGCCUAACACAUGCAAGUCGAACGGCAGCACAGUAAGAGCUUGCUCUUACGGGUGGCGAGUGGCGGACGGGUUAGGCAUACAUCGGAAUCUACUUUUUCGUGGGGGAUAACGUAGGGAAACUUACGCUAAUACCGCAUACGACCUACGGGUGAAAGCAGGGGAUCUUCGGACCUUGCGCGAUUGAAUGAGCCGAUGUCGGAUUAGCUAGUUGGCGGGGUAAAGGCCCACCAAGGCGACGAUCCGUAGCUGGUCUGAGAGGAUGAUCAGCCACACUGGAACUGAGACACGGUCCAGACUCCUACGGGAGGCAGCAGUGGGGAAUAUUGGACAAUGGGCGCAAGCCUGAUCCAGCCAUACCGCGUGGGUGAAGAAGGCCUUCGGGUUGUAAAGCCCUUUUGUUGGGAAAGAAAAGCAGCAGGUUAAUACCCCGCUGUUCUGACGGUACCCAAAGAAUAAGCACCGGCUAACUUCGUG